RNAcentral lists this ribosomal RNA (253 nucleotides) under uncultured bacterium. RNAcentral's name for it is "partial 16S ribosomal RNA". It matches the Rfam family "Bacterial small subunit ribosomal RNA", at positions 524 to 776 of the family's 1533-position model. The record is from RNAcentral.
UACGGGGGGGGCAAGCGUUGUUCGGAAUUACUGGGCGUAAAGCGUGCGUAGGCGGUGACUCAAGUCAGAGGUGAAAGCCUGGAGCUCAACUCCAGAACUGCCUUUGAAACUAGGUCGCUAGAAUCUGGGAGAGGUGAGUGGAAUUCCGAGUGUAGAGGUGAAAUUCGUAGAUAUUCGGAAGAACACCAGUGGCGAAGGCGGCUCACUGGACCAGAAUUGACGCUGAGGCACGAAAGCGUGGGGAGCAAACAGG